UUUCCGUAUGUGAACCUGCGGAAGGAUCAUUAACACGUUCCAAGACCUAAAAACCAACCUGAGAACUAGUCAAAGCUUUUUUCUAUAGCCUAGUUCAUUUUAAGCUAUGAUUGAAGCUGAUCUUCAGCUUUAUCGCAUUGGCGUAUCUGCCCUAGUGGUAGUGCGUUCCAAUCCAUAUAGUUGUUGAUCAUACCUUUUUUAAAACGCCCUUCAUCAGCUGCUUAGCUAGUCUGACGAAUCUUUAUCAUUAUCAACUUCUACCAACGCAGGUUUUGUGUCGAUUAGCUGAUUGUGUAUCAGCCCGACCACUGCUGGUUGGUCUAUAGAAAAAAAAUCUAAGAACAACUCUUAGCAAUGGAUAUCUUGGUUCCC
Molecule: unclassified non-coding RNA, 372 nt
Filed under: plant metagenome
Description: partial contains small subunit ribosomal RNA, internal transcribed spacer 1, and 5.8S ribosomal RNA
Source: RNAcentral